RNAcentral lists this ribosomal RNA (253 nucleotides) under uncultured bacterium. Its description in RNAcentral is "partial 16S ribosomal RNA". It matches the Rfam family "Bacterial small subunit ribosomal RNA", at positions 524 to 776 of the family's 1533-position model. The record is from RNAcentral.
UACGUAGGGUGCGAGCGUUGUCCGGAUUUAUUGGGCGUAAAGAGCUUGUAGGCGGCUCGUCGCGUCGGGUGUGAAAACUUGCGGCUUAACCGCAAGCCUGCACCCGAUACGGGCGGGCUAGAGUUCGGCAGGGGAGACUGGAAUUCCUGGUGUAGCGGUGGAAUGCGCAGAUAUCAGGAGGAACACCGAUGGCGAAGGCAGGUCUCUGGGCAUUAACUGACGCUGAGGAGCGAAAGCAUGGGGAGCGAACAGG